Molecule: ribosomal RNA, 500 nt
Filed under: uncultured bacterium
Lineage: Bacteria
Description: bacterial SSU rRNA
Rfam family: Bacterial small subunit ribosomal RNA
Source: RNAcentral
AUGAACGCUAGCUACAGGCUAACACAUGCAAGUCGAGGGCGAGCAUGAAGUUGCUGCAAACUUGAUGGCGACCGGCGCACGGGUGAGUAACGCGUACUCCAACCUGGCCCGCAGUAGGGAACAGCCCGGCGAAAGUCGGAUUAAUGCCCUAUGUCUUCCUUUGCAGGCAUCCAAUGAGGAAGAAAGAUUUAUCGCUGCGGGAUGGGGAUGCGUCUGAUUAGCUUGUCGGCGGGGUAACGGCCCACCGAGGCAACGAUCAGUAGGGGUUCUGAGAGGAAGGUCCCCCACACUGGUACUGAGACACGGACCAGACUCCUACGGGAGGCAGCAGUGAGGAAUAUUGGUCAAUGGGCGAGAGCCUGAACCAGCCAAGUAGCGUGCAGGGAACCGACUGCCCUAUGGGUUGUAAACUGCUUUUAUGCGGGGAUAAACUUCAGCACGUGUGCUGUUUUGCAGGUACCGCAUGAAUAAGGACCGGCUAAUUCCGUGCCAGCCGCGGC